RNAcentral lists this long non-coding RNA (5294 nucleotides) under Zea mays. Its description in RNAcentral is "long non-coding RNA (ZMAY_LNC005351)". The record is from RNAcentral. Lineage: Eukaryota; Viridiplantae; Streptophyta; Magnoliopsida; Poales; Poaceae.
GGGACCUUGCGUGGUUCCGGAUACCUCGGUAAAAAUACCGGCGUCUUCCACGAGAGUUUGCUUCUCUACUUAGCUCUUUACAUUCCGCAUUUAUAUUAAGCAUUUUAGUUUCAAUCUUGUAGUCAUACUUAUUUAGUGUAGAUUGAAACUUAGCCUUUGCGGUAGAGAUAGCAACACUUAGACAAAACCUAGUUUGCACAUUCUAGUUUUGAUUAUUUGCAUAGGUUUUGCUCUAGGGAUUUAAUUGUGGCCUAAUUUAGUAAAAGUUUUAGAAGUCCUAAUUCACCCCCCCCCCCUCUUAGGCGUCACCCGUUUCCUACAAGUGGUAUCAAAGCCCGGUUUGGCUCAUUUGAAACGCUUUAGCUUCACCGCUAAAAGAGCCGACGCUUUUUAGAGGAAGGGAUGGAUACCCAUAGGCCACCACACUUCGACGGCACUAACUUCCCAUAUUAUAGUGCUAGAAUGGCUUGUUACCUAGAGGCCGUUGAUCUAGGUGUUUGGAGAGUCACUCGUGACGGGAUGAAACCCCUCAAGAAUCCCGAGAAACCCACCACGAGUGAGGAAAAAGAAAUCCAUUUAAAUGCUAGAGCCAAAAAUUGCUUGUAUGAAUCUCUUAGCAUGGAUAUUUUUAACCAAGUAUUUACCUUGAAAACUGCUAAUGAGAUUUGGCUAAAAUUGCAUGAGCUCCAUGACGGCACAUCCAAUGUCCGUGAGCAAAAACAUUGCCUAGUCUUAAAUGAGUAUAAUUCUUUUGCUAUGAAAGAUGAUGAGCUUGUUAGAGACAUGUAUUCUCGUUUGAAUCUAUUAAUCAAUGAGCUCAACUCUAUUGGCAUUAAUAAGCUAGGCGAUGCGGACAUUGUGAGGAAGAUUAUCUCCCUGCUACCACAACAAAGAUAUGGGAGCAUCAUCACCAUCCUUCACAACAUGGAGGACUUGAGCAACAUGACCCCGACCAUUGUGAUUGGGAAAAUCGCGGCUUUUGAGAUGUCGCGAAAAAUGAGUCGGGGAGAGGAGCCAACAUCCACAAGGCCAUAUGCUUUUGCAUGUGAUGAAAGGAAGGGCAAAAAGAAGGCUCCCACUCCAAGUUCCUCAAGUGAAGAAGAGGAAGAAGAAGAAAGUGAUGAUGAUGAAGAUAAUCAACCAUGCACAUCAUCCUCCGAGGACAAAGAAACAAUCCAACGCGUCGGAAAGGUAAUGAGGAUGAUCCGCAAGAUUAAUCUAAUGGGUGUGCCCCUGCAGGUCGAGGAUCUUCUCUUUAACAUUGACAGGAAAAAGCAAAGAAAGAGAGGAUGCUUCGCAUGUGGGGAGAAGGGCCACUUCAGGGACAACUGUCCAAAUAUGGCCAAACCCAAAAAGGAGAGGAGCAAAGACAAGGCGCUAACAAGUGUUAGAACGUGGGAUGAUUCUUCAAGUGAAGAUGAACCUCCAAGGACGCGCAGCCACCGGUCCUCGUCACGAUCAUCACGGUCAUCACACAAAUGCCUCAUGGCAAGAGGUAACAAAAGCACUCCAUCCUCUAGUGAUGAAAGUAGUAGUGAUGAUGAAGGUGAGGGAAAGGCCUCUCUAGAUGAGCUUGCGGAAGCCGUGGAAUUUUUCCAGGAUGUUUGCACUAAGCAAAAGGCUCAACUUAAAACUUUGAAAAAUAAGUUGGUUAGCUCUCAAAAUGAUUACAAAGGUUUGCUAGAAAAAUUUGAAACUCUUACAAACUUAAAUAGUGAGCUAUCAACUAAAAUUGAGCUAUUAGAAUCUAGUGCUCCAUCCACUGCUACCGAUGAUGGCCUUAUUAAAAAGAAUGAAAAACUGAAAGCUAAGUUAGCUAGCUCCCAAGAAGCUAUUGAAAAUUUGCUAAAGAAAAUGGAAAUUCUUAGCAUACACAAUAAUGAGCUAACUACUAAGCUAGAAAACAUUGGUAGCACCCCAACAGCAUCUUUAGUUGAAAUACCUGAAAUAAUUAAGAAAGAUGUUUCUACUUCCUGCUUUGAUUUAAUUAAUGAUUCUAACCCCUACAACCAAGUCGUUGUUGAGAAUAUUAUUGUAGAGACAUGUUCGGAUGAGGUUGCAAAGGAAAAUGAACAAUUAAAGCAAGAAGUGGCUCGCCUUGGCAAGGCUUUGUAUGACAAGAAAGGCAAAGCCAAACAAAUCCAACCUCCACAGGAUAACACCACUGCGGGAGUGAACAAGCCUAUGGAGGGAGAAACUGUGAUUUGUAGGCUAUGCCACAAGGAAGGCCACAAGUCUUUCCAAUGCAAGGCGAUGACCGGGGAUAAACAAAGGCAAAAGCUCAAGCAAAAGCCAUCAAGCAAAAUCUCCAGCACCUACAUCAAAAAGGUGAACAAAAAGAAUGCUACACCAUAUUUGAUCAAGAAGAAAAAGAAUGGAAAGGUGAUAGCAAUCAAGGCCAACAAGCAAGCCAACAAAGGAAAGUGGGCCAAACGCAUCUGGGUGCCAAAGGAAAUAAUUUCAACCAUGAAAAGCACCAAAAAGGUUUGGAUCCCAAAAGGGAAGUGAGUGGACCGAAGGUCGUAGGGAAAAUUUGGAGACUUGGCUAAAUUGGGAUGUAUAUCAUGGGAUACAUCAUAUUGGAUCAAGUUUAUUGCCAAGUGGGCUAGUGAAAACUUUGGACCCAAAUUUCCCACCCAUGACUAAGGUAACUAGUUUUAUUGUAUUCUUCAUUUUUAGAUAUGCGUAUCUAUUUACCUUCUAUCUAGUUUACCUGUCUGGCCUAGUAUUACAUUUGUUAUGCACUUUUAUUUAAAAACAUGCAUACUAGGUAAAUCACAUGGUAGGAUUGCUUGCUUUCGAUUCAUACACUUAAGCAAACCUACAUGGCUUAAAAUGUUUAUUUAAGCAAGGCACAUAGCUUCUAUAUCACUCCAUAGUAAAUGAUGCAUAAAUUGAAAAUUUUGAGUUCUACAAGUUGUAUCAUUUAACUUAUAUGUGCCAAAGUUGGGAUUAUGGAUAAUUUGCCCCUCUUGAUAUCAAAUCAAAGUGCAUGUCUCCUACAAGUAUUCAAAACUUGUAUGCACACCUUUAGGGGGAGGUUACUCUAUAAUCUAACACUUUGAGACUAACACCUUUUCAAGUCUAUUUCUUGUGAUAGUCUCAUUGUAAGGAAAAUGAAGUCCCCGGAGAAAGACAACAAUCUUCCACUGCAAAAUCUCCAAGAACUCUCAUGUCUCUCAAGCUCACCAUUGACUUUCAAUUGGUAUCUUUUGAGACUACAUUUAGUAUCAUUUACAUGUCUUCUCCAACAUUUGAUUAGACUAUAUUGCAUAUCAUAUGCUUCCAUGUUGCUAAAAAUGCAUAAGUAGUUAACUCAUAUUUUGUUACCUAUGCAUAAGGGAAGUUAGUCUUUUCAAAUCAUGUCUUGCACCUCUAAUUUUCACAUGCUUUUUCCUAAGUUGAGGAUCUCUGUCAGGGGGAGUAUUUCUUCAUCUCUAAAGGGUGGAGAAAAACUCUUUCUAAAGGAGAAUACUCUUUUAGGGGGAGUAAUCUUUUGAGGAGCUCCUUCAUGUGGUAUCAUUCAUGGUUUAAUUUAAUAUCCUUCCAGUGAUAUCAUUUGAUACAAUUCUUGUUGAGGGCAAGCUUUUAUUUACUUCCUACAUGCUUUUAAUGUCUUCCUUUUCGGUGGUUGAUGCCAAAGGGGGAGAAGUUUAGGGACCAAAGCAAUGAAAACUAUAUCAAACACAAAACACCACCAAUUUAAAAUUUUAUAUUUCCAAAUGGUUUGUCCAGUGGUUUUGGUUAUUUGGUCCAAAAAUAGGAAGUAAGUGAAUUAUGGAGUUAGGGGGAGGCUUAAGUCCAUAAUAUCACAUUGUGGGGACAAUCAUGCAUCCUAGCAAGUAGAUUGCACAUUUUAAUUCAAAUACUUGUAUUAUUUGCUUGCUUUGGUUGUGUUGUCAUCAAUCACCAAAAAGGGGGAGAUUGUAAGGAAAAUGGACCCCGGGCCAUUUGGCUAAUUGAGUUUUGGUGUUUGAUGAACAACACAAUCCGUGAACUAAUAAGUUCUCUAGUGUUUGUGUUUGUAGUUCACAGGAUGCGAAGAGAAUUGGACCAAGGCAAUGAGGAUGCAACACCUCAAAAGAAGACAUAAAAAGAUGCAUAGGAGUCCAAUACUCAAGAACAAAGAAGCCCGAAGAAAUCAGCGAAGAAAUGCAAGACAAGGGCUGUCAGCCAGCGCCAGGUGGCGCACCGGACAUCGGUGUCCGGUGUGCACCGGACUGUCCGGUGAGGCACCGGACAGUCUACGCAGAGAGGCCGCAGACAGGCGCUCUCUGGCUGUAGCACCGGACUGUCCGGUGUGCCAACGGGCAGAAGGCAACGGUCGGAUCCAACGGUCGACUGCUACAGGCGCCAACGGUCGGCUGACGUGGCGUGCACCGGACAUCUACUGUUCAGUGUCCGGUGGUGCACCGGACUGUCCGGUGCACCCGUCGACAGAAAGCUGCUGCUUUCUGUCCAACGGCUAGUUGAGGGUGUGGAGGCUAUAAAUACCACCCCAACCGGCCAUUCUCAGGUGUGGGAGCCCAAGCAACAUACCAAGGCAUAUAGUGCACAUUUCCAAGAGCUCAAACACCCAAGUGCUUAAUAGAAUCACUCGGUGAUUAGCGUAGGUGCUUUGCGAAGUGCUUAGGUUAGUUAGACCGCUUUAGCGCUUGCUCUAGGUGAACCCUAGUUAGUUGAGUGAGUUUUGUAAAACCACACAACCCCUCGGCUCUUGCUUGAGCCGUUGUAAUUGUACCGAGUGGGGCGAGAGUCUUGCGAGACCGUGACAACCGUGUUUGUGUCACGGCCGCCACCGUGUACCGGAGGGAACGAGGCCCGCGGCGUUUCGGCCGGAAGCUCGAUAGUGGAGACGGCGGGGAGCGUCCGAGAGGAGCCGAAAGCGGAGCACCACUUGCGCGUGGAGAAGGCCCGUGGCUCUCUACGGAGUUACUCGACCGUGGUGCUUGGCCCUCGCGUGGGCUUCCCUUUGCGUAGGGGCACCAACGAGGAUUAGUCGGGACCUUGCGUGGUUCCGGAUACCUCGGUAAAAAUACCGGCGUCUUCCACGAGAGUUUGCUUCUCUACUUAGCUCUUUACAUUCCGCAUUUAUAUUAAGCAUUUUAGUUUCAAUCUUGUAGUCAUACUUAUUUAGUGUAGAUUGAAACUUAGCCUUUGCGGUAGAGAUAGCAACACUUAGACAAAACCUAGUUUGCACAUUCUAGUUUUGAUUAUUUGCAUAGGUUUUGCUCUAGGGAUUUAAUUGUGGCCUAAUUUAGUAAAAGUUUUAGAAGUCCUAAUUCACCCCCCCC